This 429-nucleotide ribosomal RNA is filed under the name Pseudomonadota bacterium. RNAcentral's name for it is "Proteobacteria bacterium partial 16S ribosomal RNA". It matches the Rfam family "Bacterial small subunit ribosomal RNA", at positions 355 to 776 of the family's 1533-position model. The record is from RNAcentral. Lineage: Bacteria; Pseudomonadati; Pseudomonadota.
UGGGGAAUAUUGGACAAUGGGCGAAAGCCUGAUCCAGCCAUGCCGCGUGUGUGAAGAAGAUCUUCGGAUUGUAAAGCACUUUAAGUUGGGAGGAAGGGCAGUAAGCGAAUACCUUGCUGUCUUGACGUUACCGACAGAAUAAGCACCGGCUAACUCUGUGCCAGCAGCCGCGGUAAUACAGAGGGUGCAAGCGUUAAUCGGAAUUACUGGGCGUAAAGCGCGCGUAGGUGGUUCGUUAAGUGGAAUGUGAAAGACCCGGGCUCAACCUGGGAACUGCAUCCAAAAACGGCGAGCUGGAGGAGGGCAGAGGGUGGAGGAAUUUCCUGUGUAGCGGUGAAAUGCGUAGAGAUAGGGAGGAACACCAGUGGCGAAGGCGACCACCUGGGCUCAUACUGACACUGAGGUGCGAAAGCGUGGGGAGCAAACAGG